GCUGGGCGCAGUGGCGCGUGCCUGCAGUCCCAGCUACUUAGGAGGCUGAAGCUGGAGGACUGCUUGAGUCCAGGAGUUCUGGGUUGUAGUGCCCUAUGCCUAUCAGGUGUCUGCACUAAGUUCGGCAAUCAAUAUGGUGACCUCCUUGCAGCCGGGGACCACGAGGUUGCCUAAGGAGGGGUGAACCCGCCCAGGUCGGAAACGGAGCAGGUAAAAACUCCCGUGCUGAUCAGAAAAAUGUCCAGCCUCAUCACCUUUAAGAAAAAUAAAUAUGGCCGGGGGUGGUGGCUCACGCCUAU
RNAcentral lists this signal recognition particle RNA (299 nucleotides) under Mandrillus leucophaeus (drill). RNAcentral's name for it is "Metazoan signal recognition particle RNA (ENSMLEG00000022080.1)". It matches the Rfam family "Metazoan signal recognition particle RNA". From Rfam's summary of the family: The signal recognition particle (SRP) is a universally conserved ribonucleoprotein. Lineage: Eukaryota; Metazoa; Chordata; Mammalia; Primates; Cercopithecidae. The record is from RNAcentral.